GAACGCUGGCGGCAUGCCUUACACAUGCAAGUCGAACGGUAACAGGUCUUCGGAUGCUGACGAGUGGCGAACGGGUGAGUAAUACAUCGGAACGUGCCCAGUAAUGGGGGAUAGCUCGGCGAAAGCCGGAUUAAUACCGCAUACGCCCUGAGGGGGAAAGUGGGGGAUCGCAAGACCUCACGUUAUUGGAGCGGCCGAUGGCUGAUUAGCUAGUUGGUAGGGUAAAGGCCUACCAAGGCGACGAUCAGUAGCUGGUCUGAGAGGACGAUCAGCCACACUGGGACUGAGACACGGCCCAGACUCCUACGGGAGGCAGCAGUGGGGAAUUUUGGACAAUGGGGGAAACCCUGAUCCAGCAAUGCCGCGUGUGCGAAGAAGGCCUUCGGGUUGUAAAGCACUUUUGUCAGGGAAGGGAUCCUUUGGGCUAAUACCCUAGGGGGAUGACGGUACCUGAAGAAUAAGCACCGGCUAACUACGUGCCAGCAGCCGCGGUAAUACGUAGGGUGCAAGCGUUAAUCGGAAUUACUGGGCGUAAAGCGUGCGCAGGCGGUUGUGUAAGACAGGUGUGAAAUCCCCGGGCUUAACCUGGGAAUUGCAUUUGUGACUGCACGACUAGAGUGUGUCAGAGGGGGGUGGAAUUCCACGUGUAGCAGUGAAAUGCGUAGAUAUGUGGAGGAACACCAAUGGCGAAGGCAGCCCCUGGGAUAACACUGACGCU
RNAcentral lists this ribosomal RNA (718 nucleotides) under uncultured beta proteobacterium. RNAcentral describes it as "bacterial SSU rRNA". It matches the Rfam family "Bacterial small subunit ribosomal RNA", at positions 31 to 747 of the family's 1533-position model. Lineage: Bacteria; Pseudomonadati; Pseudomonadota; Betaproteobacteria. The record is from RNAcentral.